CAACCUUGUGUCAUAUGGUUUAUUACAAUUUGCCUCCCCUCUCCUACUAGACUCAGGAACUUCCAUAGGUUAUUUACCUUUGGCUGGGCAUGCAUGAUAAUGGGAUUCUCUCUAGUAGUCUCCUCUAUAUUGAUGAUAGGAUCCUUCCUACUAGCCUCCUCCACAUUCUUAAUAGUCUUUGUAACAAAUAUUUUUGUUUUGUUUUCCAUCACAAACACCAUUUAAAGCUUCGACAAACGUUUUGGGUUAUUUGUUUGAUGUUAGAGGUUUAGGGUUUGAAAUUAGGGUUGAUGAAAGGCAUGUCUAGUGUAUUUUGAAAGGUUCCAUGAAAAUGGGGGGUUGAAAAAUCCUCAGUGAAGAGGAUGGUUGAGGACGAUGAACAUUGCUAGGAUAGCCAUUUUCACCAUUCUUAAGUUAUUAACAAUCGAAAUUUAGAGGGUUAAUCGGUCUCCGCUAACUAUUAGAUUAG
Molecule: long non-coding RNA, 469 nt
Filed under: Lathyrus oleraceus (garden pea)
Lineage: Eukaryota; Viridiplantae; Streptophyta; Magnoliopsida; Fabales; Fabaceae
Description: Pisum sativum (pea) long non-coding RNA (PSAT_LNC039105)
Source: RNAcentral